This 189-nucleotide ribosomal RNA is filed under the name uncultured bacterium. RNAcentral's name for it is "partial 16S ribosomal RNA". It matches the Rfam family "Bacterial small subunit ribosomal RNA", at positions 340 to 526 of the family's 1533-position model. The record is from RNAcentral.
UACGGGAGGCAGCAGUGAGGAACAUUGGUCAAUGGACGCGAGUCUGAACCAGCCAUCCCGCGUGCAGGAUGACGGCCCUAUGGGUUGUAAACUGCUUUUUUACGCCAAGAAACCUGGUUACGUGUAACCAGCUGACGGUAGCGUAGGAAUAAGCAUCGGCUAACUCCGUGCCAGCAGCCGCGGUAAUAC